This is a long non-coding RNA of Pseudophryne corroboree (corroboree frog), 1009 nucleotides long. RefSeq lists it as uncharacterized. NCBI's taxonomy places the organism in Eukaryota, Metazoa, Chordata, Amphibia, Anura, Myobatrachidae. The transcript is spliced from 2 exons. The record is from RefSeq and is a predicted model, not a curated record.
UUCAGCUCGGGGGCAGCGUGCUGAAAUGCACGUAAAAAGACCCGCUCGGGUGUCCAACGUAUCUUUUCAAGCUCUCAAGCUGGAGCAUUUGAGUAUCGCCCCACGAUCUCCCGUCACUUUAGAUGGGGGUGUGAUAACAAUUUAAUCCCCCCCCCUUCCCCAGUGUCUGGGCUUACCUACCAACCGUCUAGAAUUCAGCGGGACAGUUCCGGUUUUCGUACCCUGUCCCGCUGUCUCACCUGUGGUCAGCAGUGUCCCGUGGGUGAGGGGUGUUGCCCAGCAGCUCUCAGAACUGCUGUGUAAGCCCUCUGCAUAACAAGAAAAGGGGGUGUGCAAAAUGUCACACACCUGGGACAUGGGCUCACAGACCCGAUCACGUCCCCUUUCAAGCGAGCGCAAAGUCCCGCUACCCAGCUUUCUAAACUUUGGAGGUUAGCACAUGAGUCCCUCGCAGCAGCUGCCACCAAUGCCGGAGCCAAUGUUCAGGGCACCUGUGCUGUGUGACUGCAGCAAUAGCAAUGCAACCAAGACAAGAUUUUGUGGGAAAUGUUUGUGGCGAGAUGAUGGCUUGGCUUAGCUUCAAAGUUCAUGGCGUGCCAAAGAGGGCUACAUGCUGCGAUUUGAGGGUAGGGUUAUGUGGACACAUCUGUAUGCCUUGAUAAAUGUACUAAUGAUUGUGUGAAGAUGUACAGUAUGGUCUCUUACCGUGCUGAGCCUCACUGCUCAUCGCCAGUGUGUUCAGUAACACUCUCCCCAGUUCCUGUCUAGGUAUUUCCUUGAAAGAGAGAUGAAACAUAAAAUAAAUGACCUGUCAGUAAUUAAUCACUAGGAGAUACUGUGCUGCAAAGCAGAAUAUAUUAUACAGAUAACAGGAGCUUUCAUAAAGCUCUGAUUUAUGUGUAAAAUUACACACUGGAGUAUGCAUAAAAUAUAAUGAGACAAUAAACCACUUUGUGCCAUCGUCAUGAUGCAUGCUGAUAGUCUCAGAAAUAAAUGUUUGUUCCACUCA